GACGAACGCUGGCGGCGUGCUUAACACAUGCAAGUCGAACGGAAAGGCCCCUUUGUGGGUACUCGAGUGGCGAACGGGGAAGUAACACGUGAGUAACGUUCCCUUGACUUCGGGAUAACUUCAGGUAACGGGGGCUAAUACCGGAUAGGAAUCCUUUCUUCAUGGGGGGGGUUGGAAAGCUUCGGCGGUUUUGGCUGGACUCGCGGCUUAUCAGCUUGUUGGUGGGGUAGUGGCUUACCGAGGCGUUUUCGGGUAGCCGGCCUGCGUGGGCGACCGGCCACCUUGGGACUGAGAGAAGGCCCAGACACCGACGGGAGGCAGAAGUGGGGAAUAUUGCAGAAUGGGCGGCAGGCUGAUGAAGAAACGCCGCGGGCGGGAUGACGGCCUUAGGGUUGUAAACCGCUUUCAGCAGGGGCGAAGCUUGUGGUGACGGUACCUGAAGAAGAAGCACCGGCUAACUACGUG
Molecule: ribosomal RNA, 465 nt
Filed under: uncultured bacterium
Lineage: Bacteria
Description: partial 16S ribosomal RNA
Rfam family: Bacterial small subunit ribosomal RNA
Source: RNAcentral